AGAGUUUGAUCCUGGCUCAGGAUGAACGCCCUUUGGUGUGCCUAAUACAUGCAAGUCGUACGCACUGGCCCAACUGAUUGAUGGUGCUUGCACCUGAUUGACGUUGGAUCACCAGUGAGUGGCGGACGGGUGAGUAACACGUAGGUAACCUGCCCCGGAGCGGGGGAUAACAUUUGGAAACAGAUGCUAAUACCGCAUAACAACAAAAGCCGCAUGGCUUUUGUUUGAAAGAUGGCUUUGGCUAUCACUCUGGGAUGGACCUGCGGUGCAUUAGCUAGUUGGUAAGGUAACGGCUUACCAAGGCGAUGAUGCAUAGCCGAGUUGAGAGACUGAUCGGCCACAAUGGAACUGAGACACGGUCCAUACUCCUACGGGAGGCAGCAGUAGGGAAUCUUCCACAAUGGGCGCAAGCCUGAUGGAGCAACACCGCGUGAGUGAAGAAGGGUUUCGGCUCGUAAAGCUCUGUUGUUGGAGAAGAACGUGCGUGAGAGUAACUGUUUACGCAGUGACGGUAUCCAACCAGAAAGUCACGGCUAACUACGUGCCAGCAGCCGCGGUAAUACGUAGGUGGCAAGCGUUAUCCGGAUUUAUUGGGCGUAAAGCGAGCGCAGGCGGUUGCUUAGGUCUGAUGUGAAAGCCUUCGGCUUAACCGAAGAAGUGCAUCGGAAACCGGGCGACUUGAGUGCAGAAGAGGACAGUGGAACUCCAUGUGUAGCGGUGGAAUGCGUAGAUAUAUGGAAGAACACCAGUGGCGAAGGCGGCUGUCUGGUCUGCAACUGACGCUGAGGCUCGAAAGCAUGGGUAGCGAACAGGAUUAGAUACCCUGGUAGUCCAUGCCGUAAACGAUGA
This 849-nucleotide ribosomal RNA is filed under the name uncultured bacterium. Its description in RNAcentral is "bacterial SSU rRNA". It matches the Rfam family "Bacterial small subunit ribosomal RNA", at positions 8 to 812 of the family's 1533-position model. The record is from RNAcentral.